UUGGAGGGCAAGUCUGGUGCCAGCAGCCGCGGUAAUUCCAGCUCCAAUAGCGUAUAUUAAAGUUGUUGCAGUUAAAAAGCUCGUAGUUGAAUUUCGGGGUCAAUAAGUUGGUCGUGCCAAUGGUAUGCACUGGCUUUAUUGAUUCCUACCUCUUGACGAACUGUGAUGCCAUUAAUUUGGUGUCGCAAGGAAUCAGGACUGUUACCUUGAAAAAAUUAGAGUGUUUAAAGCAGGCUUACGCUUGAAUACAUUAGCAUGGAAUAAUGAAAUAGGACGUUUGAACCUAUUUUGUUGGUUUCUAGGAUCGACGUAAUGAUUAAUAGGGAUAGUUGGGGGCAUUAGUAUUCAAUUGUCAGAGGUGAAAUUCUUGGAUUUAUUGAAGACUAACUACUGCGAAAGCAUUUGCCAAGGAUGUUUUCAUUAAUCAAGAACGAAAGUUAGGGGAUCGAAGACGAUCAGAUACCGUCGUAGUCUUAACCAUAAACUAUGCCGACUAGGGAUCGGAUGAUGUUAAUUUUUUAAUGACUCAUUCGGCGCCUUACGGGAAAC
RNAcentral lists this ribosomal RNA (549 nucleotides) under uncultured Glomus. RNAcentral's name for it is "SSU rRNA". It matches the Rfam family "Eukaryotic small subunit ribosomal RNA", at positions 548 to 1098 of the family's 1831-position model. The record is from RNAcentral. RNAcentral also lists the same sequence under 1 other name. Lineage: Eukaryota; Fungi; Glomeromycota; Glomeromycetes; Glomerales; Glomeraceae.